UGGCGACCGGCGCACGGGUGAGUAACACGUAUCCAACCUGCCGAUGACUCGGGGAUAGCCUUUCGAAAGAAAGAUUAAUACCCGAUGGCAUAGUUCUUCCGCAUGGUAGAACUAUUAAAGAAUUUCGGUCAUCGAUGGGGAUGCGUUCCAUUAGGUAGUUGGUGAGGUAACGGCCCACCAAGCCUACGAUCGGUAGCCGGACUGAGAGGUUGAUCGGCCACAUUGGGACUGAGACACGGUCCAAACUCCUACGGGAGGCAGCAUG
This 265-nucleotide ribosomal RNA is filed under the name uncultured bacterium. RNAcentral's name for it is "partial 16S ribosomal RNA". It matches the Rfam family "Bacterial small subunit ribosomal RNA", at positions 89 to 353 of the family's 1533-position model. The record is from RNAcentral.